RNAcentral lists this ribosomal RNA (564 nucleotides) under Plumularia spiralis. Its description in RNAcentral is "partial 16S ribosomal RNA". It matches the Rfam family "Bacterial large subunit ribosomal RNA", at positions 1835 to 2596 of the family's 2925-position model. The record is from RNAcentral. Lineage: Eukaryota; Metazoa; Cnidaria; Hydrozoa; Leptothecata; Plumulariidae.
CCUGGGAUAAAUCCAAGGUGAUACCUGCCCAAUGGUUCAAAACUCUACUUAAAAGUAGGAAAAUCAACUUAAUGGCUGCAGUAUUCCUGACUGUAUUAAGGUAGCACAAUCAAUCGCCACUUAAUUGGUGGAUAGUAUGAAUGGUAUAACGAAAGUUUCACUGUCUCAAGUAUAUAAAGAAAAAAAUUGAAAUAAUAGUUAAGAUCCUAUUUAAAAUCGUAAGACGAUAAGACCCUAUAAAGCUUUACUGUUAAUAUUCAAAAAAAGAGUAUAAGACAGUUUACUUGGGGCAAGGACUUUUUAAAAAGAAAAAAAGUAAACAAAAUUAAUAAUUACAAUUUAUUGUAUAAACCAUGAUUUUAACAAUUACUAAGUAGGUUAUAAUGACCUGUUAACAUUGAAAAAAAAAGUUAACAAUCAAUUGAUAAAAGCUACUUUAGGGAUAACAGGAUAAUUUCAUCAAAGAGAUGUUAUCACUGAUGAAGUUUGUCACCUCGAUGUUGAAUUAAGAUAACCUAACGGAGCAAAAGCUGUUAAAGGUAGGUCUGUUCGACCUUUAAAUAU